CCCUUAGAUGUUCUGGGCCGCACGCGCGCUACACUGUUCGACGCAGCGAGUCUUAACCUUGACCGAAAGGUUUGGGUAAUCUUCAGCAAAGUCGAACGUGAUGGGGAUCGAUCAUUGCAAUUAUUGACCGUGAACGAGGAAUUCCUAGUAAGUGCAAGUCAUCAGCUUGCGCUGAUUACGUCCCUGCCCUUUGUACACACCGCCCGUCGCUACUACCGAUUGAAUGGUUUAGUGAGAUCUCUGGAUUGACGCUGGCUAGGGGGCGACCCUUGGCCAGACUGUUGAGAAACUGCUCAAACUUGAUCAUUUAGAGGAAGUAAAAGUCGUAACA
Molecule: ribosomal RNA, 331 nt
Filed under: uncultured eukaryote
Lineage: Eukaryota
Description: partial 18S ribosomal RNA
Rfam family: Eukaryotic small subunit ribosomal RNA
Source: RNAcentral